GUUUAACGGCCGCGGUAUUUUGACCGUGCAAAGGUAGCGCAAUCACUUGUCUUUUAAAUAAAGACCUGUAUGAAUGGCAUAACGAGGGCUAAACUGUCUCCUUACUCCAGUUAAUGAAAUUGAUCUCCCCGUGCAGAAGCGGGGAUUAACCCAUAAGACGAGAAGACCCUGUGGAGCUUUAGAUGAUAGAUGAAUUUAUUAAAAAAUUAAUACCACAUAAAAGGUAAUUUAAACGAUGACCUCAUCUUAAAUCUUUAGUUGGGGCGACCGCGGAGUAAAACAAAACCUCCGUGAGGAUUGAGAUGAAAACCUUAUACCCAAGAAUGUCAUUUCUAAGUACCAAAAUAUUUGACCAAUUGAUCCGGCAACAGCCGAUUAACGAACCUAGUUACCCCAGGGAUAACAGCGCAAUCCUCUUUGAGAGCCCCUAUCGACAAGAGGGUUUACGACCUCGAUGUUGGAUCAGGACAUCCUAAUGGUGUAG
Molecule: ribosomal RNA, 484 nt
Filed under: Hippocampus guttulatus (long-snouted seahorse)
Lineage: Eukaryota; Metazoa; Chordata; Actinopteri; Syngnathiformes; Syngnathidae
Description: partial 16S ribosomal RNA
Rfam family: Bacterial large subunit ribosomal RNA
Source: RNAcentral